GACAAGAACUGCCUCAUUGGAUUUUUUGAA
RNAcentral lists this non-coding RNA (30 nucleotides) under Homo sapiens (human). The record is from RNAcentral. Lineage: Eukaryota; Metazoa; Chordata; Mammalia; Primates; Hominidae.